UUUUCCGCUAUCCCCUUACUAGACGCUUUGUGUGUUUUUUAUAGGGCGCCAAACACCCAAACCUCCGGUGAAAAUAUUCGCUUCCCUGCGCUUUUUUCUAAAAGCUAUAAAAAUUAUUUCCCAACGAACAAAAAAAAUUGGUUUGGUCCCCCGGCGGGGCCUGGGUUCGGGGUUGAAACCCCCCGGGGGGGACCCGCCGAGCAAACGGUUGGGAAACUUCAACCCGGGUUGGGAGUGGUUCCUCGUAUACCUUCGGUAAGGGGGCCCUGGGGAGGGAUCAUGUGGCGCGGGUUUACAAUUCCCAAACCCAAUGUGAACGUUACCAAACUGUUGCUUGGGGGGGGUCACGCCCCGGGUGGGUCGCAGCCCCGGAACCAGGCGCCCGCCGGAGGAACCAACCAAAUUCUUUCUGUAGUCCCCUGGGGGAGGUAUUUUUUACCGCUCUGAGCAAAAAUUCAAAAUGAAUCCAAACUUUCAACCACGGAUCUCUUGGUUCUGGCAUCGAUGAAGAACGCCGCGAAAUGCGAUAAGUAAUGUGAAUUGCAGAAUUCCGUGAAUCCUCGAAUCUUUGAACGCCCAUUGCGCCCGCCCGUAUUCUGGCGGGCAUGCCUGUCCGAGCGUCAUUUCAACCCUCGAACCCCUCCGGGGGAUCGGCGUUGGGGAUCGGGACCCCUCACACGGGUGCCGGCCCCUUAAUACCGUGGCGGUCUCGCCGCAGCCUCUCCUGCGCAGUAGUUUGCGCAACUUGCACCGGGAGCGCGGCGCGUCCACGUUCGUAAAACACCCAACUUUCUGAAAUGGUGACCUUGGAUCACGGUAGGAAUUCCAUCGCUGACUUGCUUUCCAUAGCCCGAGAAA
This 858-nucleotide ribosomal RNA is filed under the name Trichoderma hamatum. RNAcentral describes it as "eukaryotic LSU rRNA". The stretch from base 470 to 623 matches the Rfam family "5.8S ribosomal RNA". Lineage: Eukaryota; Fungi; Ascomycota; Sordariomycetes; Hypocreales; Hypocreaceae. The record is from RNAcentral.